This 1565-nucleotide ribosomal RNA is filed under the name Acropyga kinomurai. RNAcentral describes it as "16S ribosomal RNA". The record is from RNAcentral. Lineage: Eukaryota; Metazoa; Arthropoda; Insecta; Hymenoptera; Formicidae.
GUAAGAAUUUUUUAAAUAUUAUAUAAAAUUAUAUUUAAAUUUUUUAAAAGUUAGAGUAUAGAAAUAUAAAUAAUUAUUUAAAUUAUAUAGAUAGUAAUGUGAAUGAAAAAGUUUUAUAAAUUUUAUUAAGUAAUUUUGAUUUAAUGUACCUUUUGUAUCAGGGUUUACUAAAAUAUAUUUUUUAUAGAAAAAAUUUUCGAAUUAAAAAGAGUUAAUUAAUUAUGAAAUUUGAUGUAUAAUAAUCAUUUUUAAUAUUUAUUUAGGGGAGAUAUUUUAGUCAAUUUUUUUGAUAUCUAAUUUUUUUUGAUAUAAAUUUAAUUUAUAUAUAAAAAGAUUAUAAAUAAAUAUUUAUGAUUUUUUAUAAUAUUUUUAUAUAAAAAAUUUGUGGGAUAAUCUGCAGAUUAAAUUAAAAAUUUGAUUAUAAAUUAUUUAAAAGUAUUCUUAAAAUUGGAAUUUUUUUUAAAAAAUUUAAUAAUUUAUAUAUUUAAUUGUGAUUAUUAAUUAUUUAUUUUAUAUAAUAAUUAUUAUUAUGAAUUAUGUUUUUUGUGAUAGAAUUUUUAUUAUAAUUUUUAAAGAUUUAAAAAAAUAUUUUAAUUAAUUAAUUGAAUUAAAAAAAAUAAUGGUAAAAUUAGUAUUAUAAAAAAUUAAUUUUUAAUAAAGCAAUAAAAAUUAAUAAUUGUAUUAUUUUUUUUAAUUAAUAUAUUUUUUAAGAAUUAGGCAAAUUUAAUUUAUUUAAUUUUUUAAUGAAAUUUUUCAUUAUAAAUUUUAUUAAAUAAAAUUAAGUCCACCUGUUUAAUAAAAACAUGGUUUUAAGAUUAAAAUUUAAGAUUUGUUCUGCUCAGUGAUGUUAAAAAUUAAAUAGCUGCAGUAUAUUGACUGUACUAAGGUAGCAUAAUCAAUUGUCUUUUAAUUGAAGGCUGGAAUGAAGGAAUGGAUGAGAUUUAAACUGUUUUAUAAAUAUAAUAAUAAUUUAUAUUUUAAGUUAAAAUUCUUAAAUAUAAUUAUGGGACGAGAAGACCCUAUAGAAUUUUAUAUAAUUUUUUUUGUUUAUAUUUUUGAAAAUUUAAAGGAAAUUAUAUUUUAUUGGGAGGAUAAUUAAAUUUAAUUAACUUUGAUUUAUAUAUAUGAAGUAAGAAUGAAUAUGAGAAAUUUUUAAAUUGUAAAAUUAUUAUUUUAUUCUUAUAGAAAAACAUUGAUGAAUGAUAAAUUUAUAAAUAAAAUUAAAAAAUGUAUUAAAAUUUUGAAGUAUGAAUUUAAUUAAUUUUUUAUUUUUAAAUUAAAAUUAAUUACCUUAGGGAUAACAGCAUAAUAUUUUUUUUAAGAUCUUAUUGAAAGAAUUGAUUGUGACCUCGAUGUUGAAUUAAAAUAAAAAUUAAAUGGAGAAAUUUAAUUAUUUAGUCUGUUCGACUAUUUAAAUUUUACAUGAUUUGAGUUUAGAUCGGUGUGAGCCAGAUCGGUUUCUAUCUAUAAUUUAAUGGUAAAUAAAUUUGUACGAAAGGACUUUUUAUUUAAAAUUAUUUUUAUUUAAAAAUGAGGAUUAAGUUAAAUAUUAAGAUUUUUUAUUU